RNAcentral lists this ribosomal RNA (474 nucleotides) under uncultured organism. RNAcentral's name for it is "partial 16S ribosomal RNA". It matches the Rfam family "Bacterial small subunit ribosomal RNA", at positions 332 to 797 of the family's 1533-position model. The record is from RNAcentral.
UACACUCCUACGGGAGGCAGCAGUGGGGAAUUUUGGCCAAUGGGCGAAAGCCUGAUCCAGCAAUGCCGCGUGAGUGAAGAAGGCCUUCGGGUUGUAAAGCUCUUUUGUCAGGGAAGAAACGGUGAGAGCUAAUAUCUUUUGCUAAUGACGGUACCUGAAGAAUAAGCACCGGCUAACUACGUGCCAGCAGCCGCGGUAAUACGUAGGGUGCAAGCGUUAAUCGGAAUUACUGGGCGUAAAGCGUGCGCAGGCGGUUUUGUAAGUCUGAUGUGAAAUCCCCGGGCUCAACCUGGGAAUUGCAUUGGAGACUGCAAGGCUAGAAUCUGGCAGAGGGGGGUAGAAUUCCACGUGUAGCAGUGAAAUGCGUAGAUAUGUGGAGGAACACCGAUGGCGAAGGCAGCCCCCUGGGUCAAGAUUGACGCUCAUGCACGAAAGCGUGGGGAGCAAACAGGAUUAGAAACCCGAGUAGUCCCA